This 416-nucleotide long non-coding RNA is filed under the name Anas platyrhynchos platyrhynchos (common mallard). Its description in RNAcentral is "lncRNA (ENSAPLG00000026021.1)". The record is from RNAcentral. Lineage: Eukaryota; Metazoa; Chordata; Aves; Anseriformes; Anatidae.
CCUCGGCUUUCUGCAGGACUCUGUGGCACAGCAAGCGCGUGGUGAUGACACACUUGGUCCCUCAGACCCUGCCAGAAGAAAAAGAGCUCUCCAGGCCUAGGAGCAAGGGCUGCACCCGCUCUGCCUCCUUCACUCGAGACCACAGCUCGCAGCGCCCCGACCCUCUCCUGUAUCCGUCGGCUUAGGGCUCUCCUCACACAUAGACUCUGGACCUGAAGCUGUCCCUCUGGACAGCAGCCUUGGCCCGGCACGUAGCGCUGUUUGCACAGCCCUUGCUCAAACACGACGGCCACGACCUCGCUCUGCCACAGCCGCCUUAGCACCACCACAACGCGCGCGGCCAGGCCUCGGCGCCUGUGGGGCCUGAGGGUGGGCACCCACGGCAGAGGCCAAAGGCUCACCCGCCUUCUGCGACU